GAAACAAUAACAAAAUAACAUGCACAACAAUAUUAACAACUUUUAAUAGCAACUAUUAGCAGUUUAUAAAAAAGUUUAAUACAACAGUCAAACAUAAUUAACCGGUUGUCGGUUAAAAAAGUGAUCUGUGAAAUUAGGCUAUUAGACAGUGGACUAAACGCUUCUACAGUUAGCCAUCUUCCCAGAUAGCAAUGAGUCGGCGGACCACCGGUGGUGCUCUGGAGGCAGUAAGCGUCAUAAGGGCGUAAUCGCAAACAGGUCUGAAGGUUAAGCAUAAAUUAAGCAGUCUGCAUGCUGGCGGCAUCUCGCAACAAAUGGGAGUGACGUAUUCGGCGGCAAAAGUUUCAUCCCCGCCAGCGGGACGCACCUAUAGCCGACACCUUGGGGCUGGCGGCAUAAAGAAGCCAUGCGGAUAUUUUUUGCUAUCUGGGUUAUUCCAUUAUUAACCCAUAAAGCUAAGUAGUUUCUUAAGUUUGAUCAUUAAUCUGCUAUGUCAAGUUAUGUGGUCUUGGUAAUGUCAAGGUGUCAUGACAAGUUAUGAUGUAUUGUAUGAUGUAUAUAUAUUUUUUUUAAGUAUGUUUUAACAUGCACAUGAUUAAUUACAUACACAAAAUAGUGGUCAUGAAAAUGUACUCAGAUUUAGCAUAUAAAUCAGGCUACACUCAUCUGACAAAUAAUGACACUCACAGGAAAAUGUAAAUUCAAGUGAAUGCUUCUAAAAGUAAAACGUAUUGGUAUCGGUAAUACUGCCCAUGUAUUUACUUGGUAUCGGAUCGAUACAAAAUUUUACAGUAUCACCCACCACUAAUUUACAUUGCAAAUCUUGAUGCCCAUUUCCAAUUUGUUGCCUGUAUUUGAUUUUUUUUGGACAACUAACUUACACAAUCUUUUAAAAGCAACUCGUAUCCAAUAUCUGAAUUGAACUAAACACUUGGCAAAACAAUUUAAGGAAGACAUACUGACCCAGAAACAGCUUAAAUCUCAGAGGAUAUUGUUGCAAUAUGCAGUAGACACACAAAAAAGAAUAUGCAAGAUUAUAGCUUUAUUUCUGUAAUAAGACAUAAAACUUUAACAUUACUCCACUAAGUGGAGCCGUCAUCCUUUAUUGUGCUGCUAAGAAGAGUCAUGUGAUCGUGGGUGGUGUCCACCUCAGUGAUGGGAGAAACAAACUUUUUGAAGCUUUAAAACAACUAAAGCAAUUGCUUCAAAAAAGAUUCACUAUUUCGUAGCAUUUAAAACACCAUACACGCUGGCGACACCUGCUGGUCAAAAUGUGUAAAGGCAAAGAGAUCUAGGUCCAAACAUCACACCUUCUACAAACAAUUUAAAAUAGGUUCUUAACAGUGUAAUAAUGCUUUCAAUAUACAGUGUUUCCCACAGAUCUGGAAUUUAAUUGUGGUGGUACACUGUAACGAAUUGCUGUAAAAAGUACAGCAUUAUUUUACAGCAGCGGGCUGUUUUUCUAAUAAUACAGAAAAUUGCUGUAAACUGCAAUGCAUUGUGGGGCCGCAUGGCGUUUUAACCCAAUAUACAGAGUAUUGUUGUAAAUUUCAAAUUUUCAGAUUGCAUUGUGGGAUCUUCAACGGUCGAGAUUUGUGAAGCGCCACCAGGAGUGAUUCACAGCUGUGGUAAGUGAUUCAUGUAUUUGUUUUUUUAAUAUUUGGUAAGUGCAGUAGUAUAUGAAAGUAUCUAUAUUCGUGGUUCAUAUUGGAAACGCCCAUGUUAUCGCAUCCGUCCCCCGUUCGCGGGAGCGAAUGAUACCUAUGCGGGUUUUAAACAGCACAGUCGCGGUAGUAUUUCACACAUACCCCGACGCUAAAUAUAGCAGCUACGGACAAAAACUGGCUUUCUACGUUAAGAGUUACAUUCCGUGACAAAAAGUAGGAUUUACAGGAACUCCUUCGUCGGCGGGACGCGAAUGAGACGCGGGGUUUUAGCCACGCGGUCGUUGUAGUAUUUCAAACAUACCGCCUUAACUGGGUUCCUACGUUAAUUACAUGCUUCAGUGAGAAAGUUGAGGAACUAAGUCGUCCACGGGAUAUGAAUGAGACGUGCUUUAACCCGGUAACGUUAGCUUUAAAUUACUUCAGGAUGAUUUCGUUUGAUUAAUAAUGUUUUUCCUUAUUUCAUAAUCCUUUUAUAUAUACACAUGUGUACAGUACAGUGCUUUAUUUGUAAAUAUCUUUACAGUGGGGUGAGCAAUUGGACAGGCAGGUGAAGAGGUAAGAGCAAAUCCAAAUAAACAUUUAAAAUUAUAUAUUCUAUUUACAGAGAGUUGUUUAUUUGUGUUUCAGUUUUAAUCUGACAUCCCUAGGGGCUUACAUUUCAAUAUAAUUAAUAUAUUUUUAGGUAUACACUGUGUAAUUUGCUUAUUGUUUGUUUGUAACGCCUCUUGUUAAGUUAUUUGGCUUAAAAUAAAGAGGUAAUUUACCCUAACAUUAAAAUAUGGUUUAAAUGUAAAAAGAUAAAUAGUAAAGAUAAAGUAUAGAUAAAGAGUACAGUUAAAAAUAACUGUUGUUACAUGUAUUUGUUUUAGGAGACACUGGAUGCAUUCAGCCCAGCUUCCUGUCUGACUUUGCCACUCUGUUCACAGCAUAUCAUCUUCAUUCAAAGCGAUCUGUAUCUGGAGAGAGGAACAAGAAGUCAGGAGGAAAAGUAAACAUCAGACCAAAUGGUACAGAAGAAACAGGUUGCAGUGAACCUACAUGUUGCUACUCUUCUUUGCAAAGUGAUGGAUUUGCAGUGGAGUUUCUGAAAUCCGCCUUUCGCAACCUGUUAUGGAACACAGUCUGGAGCCGAAUUGUUUUCCUUGACCAGAAGUUUAUUGGAAUCGCUUGAGGUCAUUUGGACAUACUGGACUUUUCCUGCAGUGGUGACAAUUAAUCUUCAUUUCAUUUUGUCAUCCAUGAAAAUUAUUUGUGAGUCCUAUUGGAUUUGAUUCCUAUCAACAGUGAAGGUAAAGACCCAUUGUUCCACACUCUUUUACAGCAUCAUCAAGCUAUUGUUGUUGUCAUCGUUAUUUAGCAACCUCUAGCUAAAUAUUUUUUAUAUUGUGCCUUUAAAGUUAUGCAGUUUUUUAGAUAUUCCUCUUUCUGUGUGAUGGGCCACACAGUGUACAUGUUUCAAUUACUUUAAAAAUAUUUAUAUUUCAUGUCCAUUAAAAAAAAACAUUCAAAAUACAUGUUUUGAAA
This is a long non-coding RNA of Misgurnus anguillicaudatus (oriental weatherfish), 3191 nucleotides long. RefSeq lists it as uncharacterized. The record is from RefSeq and is a predicted model, not a curated record. NCBI's taxonomy places the organism in Eukaryota, Metazoa, Chordata, Actinopteri, Cypriniformes, Cobitidae.